GACGAACGCUGGCGGCGUGCUUAACACAUGCCAGUCGAACGGAAAGGCCCCUUUGGGGGUACUCGAGUGGCGAACGGGUGAGUAACACGUGAGUAACCUGCCCUUGACUUCGGGAUAACUUCAGGAAACUGGGGCUAAUACCGGAUAGGAAUCCUUGCUGCAUGGUGGGGGUUGGAAAGCUUCGGCGGUUUUGGAUGGACUCGCGGCUUAUCAGCUUGUUGGUGGGGUAGUGGCUUACCAAGGCUUUGACGGGUAGCCGGCCUGAGAGGGCGACCGGCCAUAUUGGGACUGAGAUACGGCCCAGACGCCUACGGGAGGCAGCAGUGGGGAAUAUUGCACAAUGGGCGGAAGCCUGAUGCAGCAACGCCGCGUGCGGGAUGACGGCCUUCGGGUUGUAAACCGCGUUCAGCAGGGGCGAAGCUUGUGGUGACGGUACCUGCAGAAGAAGCACCGGCUAACUACGUG
Molecule: ribosomal RNA, 465 nt
Filed under: uncultured bacterium
Lineage: Bacteria
Description: partial 16S ribosomal RNA
Rfam family: Bacterial small subunit ribosomal RNA
Source: RNAcentral